GAGGGGGCGGGGAGGAGCAGCGCGGUCUGCAGACCCACAGAGUCUGGCGGGGAGCCGAGGAGGAGGAGAGGCAGCAGCAGCAGCAGCAGCGGUGGAAGAGAUGGACUCACACCUCUGAAUCACAACUCAACCUCCAGUCACGGAGACUUGGGACGACUAAGUGUUCUGGAGCGGGAUUUUUUGCUCGUGUUGCUCACUGAGACUGAAAAAAAAAUUAAUAAUAAGCAGCACAGGAGCGGGGAGGUUUGUUUUCUAUAUAGUUGCACCCUGACGCUCAGCGCUCCUGUCGUCUCACCUGCACUGCAAGUCCGCUGUGAUAAUAAUGCAUCCAGAUAAGUACUUACCUGAACUGGUGGCCGAGAAAAACACCCUGGAUCCCUGCUUUGUGCAUGCGGUGCGCCUGCUUGCAGAAGAGAUUGAAAAGUGUGACGGCGAUGAAUUGAGAAAAGAUGGCGACACAAAGAAAUACCUAGAUAUAAUCAGCAAUAAAAAUAUCAAGCUCUCCGAAAGAGUUCUCAUUCCCAUCCAGCAGUAUCCAAAGUUUAAUUUUGUAGGGAAGCUGCUGGGACCACGGGGAAAUUCUAUGAAACGAUUACAAGAGGAGACAGGAGUGAAGAUGUCCAUUCUUGGCAAAGGGUCCAUGAGGGAUAAAGGCAAAGAAGAGGAAUUACGGAAAAGUGGUGAAGCCAAAUACGCCCACCUGAGUAAUGAUCUACACGUUUUAAUUGAAGUCUUCGCUCCACCUGGAGAGGCCUACUCUCGCAUGAGCCAUGCCUUGGAGGAGAUUAAAAAAUUUCUAGUCCCAGACUACAAUGACGAGAUCAGACAGGAGCAACUGAGAGAGUUAUCCCUGUUGAACGGAUCUGACGAGUCGAGCAGAGGGAGGAGUGUACAGGCGAGAAGUGUGCGAACAACAACCACAACAAUAUCCACAAGGGGCCACAGAGGUGCAGGAAGGAGUGCUGCAGCACCUCGGGGGACAGCGACGGCAGCACACAGCAAACUUCCUACGACGGUGGUGACGAGGGAGGUACAAGCUCCCAGGGCCAGGGGGGCAGCAGCGAGCGCCGGAUACAGACCCCCGCUGUUAGCAGUCACACACGAAUCGUACGAUGACUAUGGCUACGAUGACGGCUACGAUGGAGAAUACGACGACGAGAGUUACCAAACCUAUGAGGAUAACUACAACAAUCAGUCAAAGAGCAUUUCAGGAUAUUAUGAAUAUGGACACGGAGCCAGUGAUGAAUCCUACAACAAUUAUGAGGAGGAGUGGGCGACCACCCGGCCCAGUCUCAAAGCCCCCGUUCUACGGCUGACAAGAGGGGGCUACAGGAAACAUCCGUACGGCAGAUACUGAAGAUAAAGAAACACACUGCAGUGUGUUUUGGUCAAAGCAGAGAGGAAUCCACCAGAGCAGAAGGCACAGAAAUCAGCUCCUACAGGACUGAAGAUUGUACUCAGCCAUCAGGCAUGCUCAGGUGCCUCAUCGGUCAGGCAAGAAACCUGGUACGUAUUCAACUUUGUUCUCAACAAAGCACCUAACAAAGGAGUUAUAGACAGUUUUCCUCAGUACGGUCUUGGAAAAGAUUAGUUGUUGAGCUUCUAUGAAGAAUUAUUGUGUCAGCCUAAUGCAAAAUUAACAAGACGUCUUCGUUUUGCACUUUGUUAAUCGAUCAUGUUGUCACACGCGAUGUUUUUCAAGGUUAUUUUCCUAGAAUAACAUCAUUGUAAAUCACCAGUGAGGAACAAAAAUGUAUUAGGCAAAUCUGCAAGAGACAGCAUUUUCAGGGAACACGGCAAUAAAGCAGUUUAGACGACACAAGUUGGAGCGAUUUCCGUCAUUCAUGGACGACUGUUCAUCAAAUCCAACUUCAGUUUCUCUGUAACUGCAGAGAUCACCAAACUGCCAAGAAGAAAAUGAUUAUUAAGUAGCUGUAAGUGAAUAUUAAACUGGUCACAAGAAUUGCUUCUUAUUUCCAACUCCUUUCUGUUCAGAGUGGCUUGUUUUUUCAAACUAACUGUUUAUUUGCACCUAUGAGUUGGAAGGGAUCAGUGUUGCUGGAAGCUCUGUGUCUGCCAGUGAUGGUCCUGCAGACUUUGCCAGAAGCUCUCUCGGAUCCAUUUUCAUAACAAGCAUGCCGCCAGCUAGAAACCAGCCAAGAGCCGAAAUCCCACAGCCUGCUAUGGAUGUGGAUGCGUUUCUUAAAGAGAAUGCCGCUCAUGAAACUGCUCUCACACUCAGAUUACAGAAGAGAUUAAAAAUAAAUAAAGGCUCAUUACUCAUUGUACAUGUUUUCAUUGUGCCCAGGUCUAAAGUGCUUAAAGACUUUGCAGCUGUCUUCGCAUCUCUUUUCACAUUAGUCCACACAUGGAUCUAUAGUGAUACGUGUCCAAUAAGCAGGACUGAGCUGUGGCUUCAGGUGCAAUAAAAACUGGCAGCUGUUUACUUUGUUGGUUUGCAAAGUUUAUCACCUUUGGCAACAUUGUUUAUGCAGCCACAACACUCUUAAUAGAAUCCACAUCAGUCUGUUUAGACUCUGCCUAUGCAUCUGUUCCUGCAAAAAAGAAAAAAAAGGUAAAGAUAAAUUCUGCUUGUGCUAACUUGUGUUUAUUGUGCACAGAGAUAAAAUUGGACUUGGAGAGAAAAGAUAAGGAAAAAUGAAACAUGAUGGCAAAAACCUAAAGGUAAGGAGGUCGUGGUAUCUGUGAUCAGCUACUUUUCUCUAUUAGAAUUUGUGAAUUUAUAGUUGAUUUGACUUGCAUUUAAAAGAAAAUUCUGGUUCAGAACUUUGCUGGAAGCAUUUUUACCAACCUGGAAAAAGAUCUUUUUUUAACAAAAAAUAACAUUCCUGUGCUUCAUUUUAGACCAUUUCACAAAUUCUGCUGUCUACAAAACUAUUUCACACAAGUUGAAUGUGAAAAACAAUUGAGGUUAUAGCUGUUUAUAGUAGUAGUAUCGACUCUUAAUCCAUUAGUUUUGACACUAGGGUUCAUAUUAAACUGUCUAACAGAUUUAAAGACUUCUAGAUCGUUCCAGCCGACAUUUCCUUCAACAUUUCAGCAACAACAGUGAUGAGAAUAGUGUUAUUAACUUUUGGUAACAACUCUAAAAACUAAACUCUAAGAAAUACUUUCACCUUUUGACAAAUGCUGUUUUAUGUUUUCUUACCAAGAGUUAGACAAGGCAGUCAGUUCCAAUCUAUAUAUAUAUAUGUAGCCACAGCCAGAAGCAAAAGGAAAAAGGCAGAAAACAGCUCUGUCCAAAAAGAAAAAACCCAUCCAGCCAAGAAACAGUCCAACGCAAAACCCUCAUCAAACCAUUCAGGGAUUGCAGGGAUGAUUAUGUACAGCAAUAAGCAUGAUCAGUCCACAUACAGUGAAGAAAAUGAAUCUGUGUAACCUGUUUUGACAGAAAUCUGCAUUUUCCUGUUUUUUCUGAUGAUUUGAUAAGAAAAAAAAGUCAAUUAUGUUUGAAUGAAUAAAACCAAAAUGAACAAAACACAAUUUUAUCCUCCAUUAUCAUCAUUUUGAUGUUGGUGAUUUUCUUUUGGCCCUGGUAAAACUCUCUGGGGGUGUCGGCAAUUAGUCUGUGCGAGAAAAACCUUGUCGUUUUUUUUGUUUGUUUCUGUAGUUUUGGUACAAAUUAAAUUAUAAUGAAAUGGAAUUUUAGAUUUGCUUGUAGGUAGAUUUUGCAACCUUUGAACAGAGCCAGUUCAGCUGUUUCAACCUGCCUCUCAUCUUUAUUCUAAGCUCAGCUACUUGCAGCUGAUGGCUUCAUAUUUCUGUGAUAGAGUAGCUAUGAAAAUAGUCUUUAUCUUUUCAUAUAACUGUAAAGCAAGAAAACAAAUGCGUUUCUUCUCCAAACACUAACCUAUUCCUUGUCAAAGUGAAUCUGGUUAUGGAAAUUUUGUCACUGACUAAGUAACCAGACAGGGAAAUAAAUAUAAAUAUGUAUGAUUGAAAAUAGACCUUGCACAUCUUGAGUUGAUACCAACACAUUCUGCAGUCAUGUAAUGAUACCAUCUGCUUAUGGGCUCUGACUGGCUACGAGGAAGAGUGAGAGAGAGACAUCCUCGGAUAUGCAACACGCUGUACCCGCUGAUUCUGUCAGCCUCUGAGUGAACAAACAAACGGUAGCUGCACACUCCUCCCUGCCAACUCUCACGCUCACUUUCGUAUUUUCUCAAAUAAUUGCACCUAUUUGUUUUUAACAAGACAAUGAGAGCUCAUUUGAAAAGGUCUAGGUGAGAGUGAGGACGUCUCGCUGCUUUCAUAUCCAUCUCAAGGACGAGCUGAUUGUCUCUGGCUAAAAGCUGCAUCUCCAUACAAAACGUCACCCAGGAUGUCAGACGCGUGCUGACAGAUUAUAACUGGGGGAUUCAUAAAGAGACAGUCAGUGGAUCGAGGGGAAUUACUGCACUGCAUUUGAUGCACACCCAGCCAAAAUGUCAGACUCGGGGCUCACAGGCCUCCUGCAUAUACAAACAGCUACACACAAAGGACACCAGUGUCAUUUGCCAUACAAAUCAGAAUCAAUUCAGACAGACUACUACAUGCUUGUCACAUGAAUAGUUCUACAUACCGUUAGAUUGUCUGAGAGGAAUUGUUUGACAUUUAAGGAAAUAUACUCAUUUGCUGUCUUUCCAAGAGUCAGAUGUGAAGAUUGAUGGCGCCCUCAUGUAAGACUGUUGGAUGUGAAGCAGGCAGGUGCUUUAUUAUAACAUGCAUAACAGAAAAAAAGACAGAUUUUUACCUUUUUAUAUACAGUUAAAACAAACAGGAAAUAAUAUGUUAAUUAGGGAGCUUUAGAGGUUCUGGAAGGCAGAUUUUUUUAUACGUGGAGAGGGCUAAGCUAACUGAUUAGUUUUACUCUCAGCUUUAGAAUGGUACCAGUCUUCUCAUUAAAUUCUCAGCAAAAAAAAAAUCAAGCACUUUCCAAAAUGUCAAAUUAGCCUUCUAAGUAUUUGAGUUCAAUUGAUUGCAAUUAUUUUUCACUUUUUCUGUUUUUCAGUUCAUAAUAUAUGUUUAUCUCUGUUUUCUUACAGGUUGCCAUGAAGACAAGAAGUUACCUCCUUGGUACAUAAUAAAACCUUUAACAUGUGCUGAAGCAUCUGAGUGUUAUAUUCUUUCAGCCUGUUAAAAUGUCCUCAGGUUAGCAAGUUUUCAUGUCAACCAAAAUCUGCACAAGGGGAUAGUUUUUCAGUUAAAUAUACACUGAAUUCACUUCUUAUAUUAUGAAUGUAUUUAAAGCAUCAUUUCUCCUCUGUUCAGUUUUAUUAAAGUGGUAUUUUGUAUUGUG
Molecule: RNA transcript, 5299 nt
Organism: Amphiprion ocellaris (clown anemonefish)
Lineage: Eukaryota; Metazoa; Chordata; Actinopteri; Pomacentridae
Gene: khdrbs2
Gene name: KH domain containing, RNA binding, signal transduction associated 2
Exons: 11
Source: RefSeq, a predicted model, not a curated record